CCGGAGCCGCCCGGAGCCGCCGGGAGCAGGCUCGGGCCGCGGCAGCCCCGCGGGGAGGCAGCGAGGGGCCCCUCGCCGAAAGCGCGAACACCCCCCACACCCCCGCCCCGCCGCCUCCGCCCGCCCCCAGCGAAGAGAAACAAAACACAACCCCGGCACCGCCACGCUCUCCCUCCUUCUCCUCUCGGCAUUUGGUGGUUGUUUUUUGGGGUUUUUUAAAAUUUAUUUUUUCUUUUCUUUUUUUUUUUUUUUUUUUUUUUUUUUUUUUUUUUCUUUUUUUUUUUUUUUUUUUUUUUUUUUUUUUAUUUUUUUUACUGGGGAUUCUCCUCUCUCCUGCCAGACUGACUUAUACGUUCUUGAUAAUUUCUCUUCCCCUCAUUUUUUAUACUCUUCUCCCUGCUUCCAAACCCUGUGUCUGUGUGUUUCAAUACUAUCACAACCUCUGCUAAAUAUAGAUCUUUUUAUACCCUUCCUCCUCUCUGACCCCAUCCAACACCCCUUGUUAAGGGUGCACCAAGUGUCCUGCUGUCUAUCAUUUCAUGUGCCAGAGUUUUCAACAUGCCAUUAAAGGUAGUGCCAGUAACAAUGGGAACAAAAAGAAAAACAGGGAUGAGUACAAAAGAACCCCAUUGAUAAAAAAAGCAAGAGGAAGUAAAUCUUUAUUCUCACUGUGUUGAGUGAGUCACUGAGUCACUGGGCUUGAAAUGAGAUCUCUGGAUUUGCACUUCACUCUUGUGUCUUGUUCAGUUGAGAUGUAAAAGCUUCUCCAUACUGAGUUAAUUAAAGAACUGCCAUUAAUGCAAAUUUGUUUGAAAUUAGCUUUCAUGCUGCAUGCACAGGAAAGAAAAAGUUGGCAGAUUUGAGUGGCAGAAAUCUGUGCAUGCAUCUGUGUACCUCUUCAGGGUCUGAAGUCAUCUUUAGAAUCUAUUUUGUUGGAUUGUAGAACUCAACAUCAUUGCUGAUAUAUAGGUCUCCCAUGGAGUACUCAUUUCAGUGAGGUCCUGGACUGCAAAUCCAUAAAAGCUGUUUCUUUUCAGACAGAACAUCUAAUGCCAACUGGAGAAGAUGUAACAGUUUGCAUUAAUUUGCUACUAGUUUAAUUUGUCCCCUGUGCAAGGACUUUCCAAAACUACCUUGGUGUGUUCCUAGACUGUAUAGGUGAUUUUCCUGCCAGCAAUUUCUCAUUCCUGAUUUAAUUCUUUUAUGCUCUGUAUAAGACCACCAAGACAGGAUUUUCCUGCUUCCCCACAAUGUGUAUUCCUGAGUGGAUAUUUAUUGAUUCCAGCGCCGUGAGAAAGUGUGGUGACCUUUCCAGCUCCAGUGUCUUUGGUCAGUUAGGGCUUCAUUUUACAAGAUAUGUCCAGCCAUUUACCAAGAUGAAUUUGCCUUACAUUAUUAGAAAAUAAUGUGAGAUGCAAAUUAUGGGCAAAAAUACUGUCUGAAGACCAGAUCCUUUUUCAUUCUCAGGCUUAAAUGGAGGGAAAGAGAUUGACUGUUGCCACCCAGAUGAGGAUACAACUGCUACACAUCUUUAACAACCAGACUGCUUUUUUUUCCAUCCUCCAUUGUGUUGCUAGGGUUCCUCUCCUGGAAUAUAUUGUGGGUAUUAUUUAUGUUCACUGUGGGAUAUAAAUUGCAAGCAUACAGCAAACGGUGAUGACCCAGAUUGUUUUUCUAUGCAAGAAAGCUUCCCAUUCAGGAUUAUCUGAAUGUAAAUAUGAUGUGUCUUCUGAUCAGAAUAAUGAAGACUUUGAAAAUUCAUUUAUCUAUUAAGUGUUGUUAGAAAACCUACACCAGAUAGAGACUUUUUCAUCAUUUACAUUUUAAAGUACUCUCUCUCUGAAAGAUUAUACUGCAUUAGAAGAUUUGCACUUAAGACAUCGUUUGAGUAAAGUGAUGCUGCACAAAAUCUUUGAUUUAAAAUCAAAUUAGAAGAGGAAGCAAUAUUUUUUUUCUAAAAUAAUGUGAAAGUUAACCAUUUGUAGAUAAACUUCUAGAUAUCAAACUUUUGGUUGUGUUGACAAAAUGCUGGGGACAGCAUGCUUGUCUUAUUGAACCUCGAUUACAGGCUUGCAAAAAUGUUGUAGUGAAGGUUAAUGGUUUGAUAACUGAAAAUGUUAACCUUUGCACUGCUGUUUCUGGGCUGAAUGUGCACCAUCCAUGCUUUCUGUUAGCACUGACAGCUCUGGUACACACCUCCUAAUCACUAGAAGAGCAUUACAUUUUCAUUUCUUCAGUAUAGGCUCUGAUCAAUGUCAUAGCUGCCUCUAAGCCUUUGAAAAUGCGUUCUAUAACUAGGAAAAAUAAUUCUGUGAUUAUAUAUGAACAAGGAAGUACUUCUCUCAGAAUAGGGAAGUAGGUUUCAGUGGAUGUACAGUGGCUGUAAUGAAAGCAAAGUGAAGCCCAUUGUCUGACCACUUGAAUGACAGUGUCCUUCACACAGUCACACCCUCAGAAGAAUGAACUUGCUUUGGACACCAGGAGCAUGAAAUGCAAGGAGCUGAAUGAACUCUACUGUAAAGUGAACCUGUAAGAUCUGACACAAUUCUGUCUCUAGCAUAGAGAUAUCCAGACUAUGGAAAGGGGAUUGUGACUAACUCUAACUAGUUCCCUUGUUAGCCUUCUUGCUAGGACCUGUGAGCAUCCAGCGUUCUACAGGGUCUGAAUUCUCCAUUGUGCUGGGAGAUAGGAGCUGGAUUCCCCUUGCUUUGGUGUUAUGGUAUGGUGUUUGGUAUGAUUCUCUGGUAUCUGGCCCAAACAUCUGUGCUAGCAAAAGGUAAAGUUAGAAAGAAUUUACCAUUAUUUUGCAUAGAUAAAAAGUGCAUUGUUUACUAACUGACAAUGAAAGGCAUAAAUGAAACAGAACCAGUUCUUGCUGGACUUGUACUGGUCAUAGAGAUGGAGCAAUCUGUUGCUGUCAUUACUCUUGUAUGGGUAAAGAGGGGACAUUGCAUCAAACACUCAUACAAAAUGAAAGUCAAGUUUUCUUCACUGGGACUUUCAUACUGACUUAGUUCUUGAUCAUCACACUGACAAGCAAUAAAAAUAAAUAAAUUAACA
Lonchura striata (white-rumped munia) is the source of this 3060-nucleotide long non-coding RNA. The record is from Ensembl. Lineage: Eukaryota; Metazoa; Chordata; Aves; Passeriformes; Estrildidae.